This is a non-coding RNA of Paramisgurnus dabryanus, 702 nucleotides long. The record is from RefSeq and is a predicted model, not a curated record. Lineage: Eukaryota; Metazoa; Chordata; Actinopteri; Cypriniformes; Cobitidae.
GCCAUAUACUGCAUUGACAGUGGUGUCUAUCACGGAGAUUUAAAGCUCAACAACAUCCUGGUCAACACAGACACGAUGGAGCUGAAACUGAUAGACUUUGGCCUCAGCAAACUUGUGAAAGAUUGUGGGAGACAAGGCGCACCAUACAGUGGGCUAUGUUUUGCUGUUGGACAGACUGUGCAUGCUUUGGCUAUGUUAUUGUUCAACAUGUUGCAUGGACAUGUGUAUACAUGCAGAACCACUGUCAGCACUGCUGUGAUAUCCAAAGAGUGUCAAGACUUGAUGGAUCGGUGCCUGGACUCCCAUGAAGAAAAUAGGCCAACAUUGCAAGAACUCUUACAACAUAAAUGGUUCAAUGAGGAAUAAAGUUGAAGUAAACAGACUGUUUGCAAGCUAUGGAGUAGAAGCCAGCAGGAGACGUUUAAGUCGUCGUAAUCGUUCUGCAAGACCUCGCUGGAGCUUCACAAGAGUGCUCUGCUGCUUAAGUAGCCUGACACAGAGGGUUACACCAACAAAGUUUGAAAGGGAGGAACUGGAAGCUGCCGGACUCUGAGAGGGAAAAGAAACUUCAGAAGAUGAAUAACCAAGACAUCUGUCCUGUUCUCCUCACACAACACCUCAAUUUGUCUCCUUUGACCGUAUGUUUAAUCCACGGUCCAUUUUGAUUCGGAAGAGGCGCGUAGAGCGCAUGAUUUCAACAAC